AGCGAACGCUGGCGGCAGGCUUAACACAUGCAAGUCGAGCGCCCCGCAAGGGGAGCGGCAGACGGGAGAGUAACACGUGGGAACGUGCCUUUUGGUUCGGAACAACCCAGGGAAACUUGGGCUAAUACCGGAUAAGCCCUUACGGGGAAAGAUUUAUCGCCAAAAGAUCGGCCCGCGUCUGAUUAGCUAGUUGGUGAGGUAAUGGCUCACCAAGGCUACGAUCAGUAGCUGGUCUGAGAGGAUGAUCAGCCUCACUGGGACUGAGACACGGCCCAGACUCCUACGGGAGGCAGCAGUGGGGAAUAUUGGACAAUGGGCGCAAGCCUGAUCCAGCCAUGCCGCGUGGAUGAUGAAGGCCUUAGGGUUGUAAAGUCCUUUUAACGGGGAAGAUAAUGACGGUACCCGUAGAAUAAGCCCCGGCUAACUUCGUGCCAGCCGCCGCAGUAACAC
This 450-nucleotide ribosomal RNA is filed under the name uncultured bacterium. RNAcentral's name for it is "bacterial SSU rRNA". It matches the Rfam family "Bacterial small subunit ribosomal RNA", at positions 29 to 526 of the family's 1533-position model. The record is from RNAcentral.